GUGGGGAAUAUUGGGCAAUGGGGGAAACCCUGACCCAGCGACGCCGCGUGAGGGAAGAAGGCCUUAGGGUCGUAAACCUCUGUUGUGUGGGAAGAAGAGCGUGACGGUACCACAUGAGGAAGUCCCGGCUAACUACGUGCCAGCAGCCGCGGUAAUACGUAGGGGACGAGCGUUGUCCGGAUUUACUGGGCGUAAAGGGCGCGUAGGCGGUCAUUUAAGUCAGCUGUGAAAUGGUUUGGCUUAACCGGAUCAUGCGGUUGAAACUGGAUGACUGGAGUGCUGGAGAGGCAAGUGGAAUUCCCAGUGUAGCGGUGAAAUGCGUAGAUAUUGGGAAGAACACCGGUGGCGAAGGCGACUUGCUGGGCCGUAACUGACGCUGAGGCGCGAAAGCGUGGGGAGCGAACAGGAUUAGAAACCCGAGUAGUCC
RNAcentral lists this ribosomal RNA (427 nucleotides) under uncultured bacterium. Its description in RNAcentral is "partial 16S ribosomal RNA". It matches the Rfam family "Bacterial small subunit ribosomal RNA", at positions 354 to 796 of the family's 1533-position model. The record is from RNAcentral.